This 526-nucleotide ribosomal RNA is filed under the name uncultured bacterium. RNAcentral's name for it is "bacterial SSU rRNA". It matches the Rfam family "Bacterial small subunit ribosomal RNA", at positions 355 to 896 of the family's 1533-position model. The record is from RNAcentral.
UGGGGAAUAUUGCACAAUGGGGGAAACCCUGAUGCAGCAACGCCGCGUGGAGGAUGAAGGUCUUCGGAUUGUAAACUCCUGUCUUUUGGGACGAAAAAUGACGGUACCAAAGGAGGAAGCCACGGCUAACUACGUGCCAGCAGCCGCGGUAAUACGUAGGUGGCAAGCGUUGUCCGGAAUUAUUGGGCGUAAAGGGCGCGUAGGCGGCGUCUUAAGUCAGAUGUGAAAUUCCCGGGCUUAACCUGGGACGUGCAUCUGAUACUGGGAUGCUAGAGUGCAGGAGAGGUAAGUGGAAUUCCUAGUGUAGCGGUGAAAUGCGUAGAUAUUAGGAGGAACACCAGUGGCGAAGGCGGCUUACUGGACUGUAACUGACGCUGAGGCGCGAAAGCGUGGGGAGCAAACAGGAUUAGAUACCCUGGUAGUCCACGCUGUAAACGAUGGAUACUAGGUGUGGGAGGUAUCGACCCCUUCCGUGCCGCAGUAAACGCAAUAAGUAUCCCGCCUGGGGAGUACGGCCGCAAGGUUG